AGUGAUUGUAGUGUGUGUGUUACACUGUCCUCAUAUUGUUUUAAGCUGUGAAGGACAUGAGUGUGUUUCAGUUGCCUUCCUCAUGUGGUUGGAUCAACAACUCUAGUGUGUGUUACACUGUCCUCAUAUUGUUGGUAGCAGAACUGUACAGUGUUAAGUUUCUUUAGAAUCUGGUAUAAGGAAGUCGGAUCCUUCUGUAAUAAUGUUCACUGAUACAAAUAUGAUCUGUAGUUAAUUAUCUAGUCGGGAUUUAUACUAGAGAAUGUUUCUGACGUUAUAUUGUUGUCUUUUGUUGCAGACACCAAGUGCUGAGGUCCUGUCUCAGCCUCAUACAGACCAAUCGACACCAAGUGCUGAGGUCCUGUCUCAGCCUCAUACAGACCAAUCGACACCAAGUGCUGAGGUCCUGUCUCAGCCUCAUACAGACCAAUUGACACCAAGUGCUGAGGUCCUGUCUCAGCCUCAUACAGACCAAUCGACACCAAGUGCUGAGGUCCUGUCUCAGCCUCAUACAGACCAAUCGACACCAAGUGCUGAGGUCCUGUCUCAGCCUCAUACAGACCAAUUGCUGGGAAGGUGAGAAGCAAGUGGACAAAUGAUGAAGUAAAGGUUGCUGCAAAGUACCAGGUAAAAGGAAUGUGACUGCUGCUUCCAAGCAGAGCCGGCAGCUCGUAAAGGCAGAGACUGGGUUGCCAUAAAGUACUACAUCCACAACAGGAUCAUUGCAUUAAAAGAAAGAUGCAAGGAAAAAAAGAAACAACCAAGAGAGAUACUUUGUUGCUUCCACAGUUAUGUCAAUAUUGUAGUUUUCUGUAUUGCAUUGUUCUUACUCAUAAAUCUGUGGUUUAUGCUGGG
Oreochromis aureus is the source of this 855-nucleotide long non-coding RNA. The record is from Ensembl. NCBI's taxonomy places the organism in Eukaryota, Metazoa, Chordata, Actinopteri, Cichliformes, Cichlidae.